RNAcentral lists this unclassified non-coding RNA (2781 nucleotides) under Leishmania donovani. Its description in RNAcentral is "gene:LdHU3.26.1310(CDS-product:2Fe-2S_iron-sulfur _cluster_binding_domain_containing_protein_putative)". Lineage: Eukaryota; Euglenozoa; Kinetoplastea; Trypanosomatida; Trypanosomatidae. The record is from RNAcentral.
UAACGGAUAUACCUCACAAGGCAACGAACCAGCACGCACGGAAAAGAGGGAGGCGGUGGGCAGACAACGUCAGCGACACGCUGUAUGUGCAUCUCUGUCUGCCUUCGCUCAUUCGCACACUCCCUCCAUUCGUUGCCACCAGCACCCGUACCACAUGCAGCCCAUUAUACCUCCCUCCUCGUUUGUCCGCAUUCUUGUUCGAAACGCAUUGCCGUGAAGCCCGCAUUGAGGUAUUCACACACACACACAAUAAAGGCGGAGUGAAGGGGAACCCCCCCCCACCCCCUCCCCAGACCUGAUCUAACCUGUGGCGUUGAUCUCCCAGUCCACUUUUACAUUGCGGCGUAUUUCUCUCUCUCUUGGUCCCCUCCUGCCCUCUUCAUCCCCUCCUUCCUUUUCCUCUCAGCGUGGCUCUGCACUGCGGUCAUACGCCCCAUCAACAGGGCCGGAGGCCUCUCUCACUAUACAUAUAAAUCUAUACAAGAGUGAAAACAACGGUGCAAAAGGCGUCGUGGCACUGCUCUUACCGUUUCCGCUCUGCUCGAUCCCUCCGUCCGCCUCCCCUCCUCUCCCCGCGCUGCCCUCCUCUCUUUUUCCCUCCUGUAAUUCUGUCACCAUUGCUCGCAUCUGCGUGCGCCCUUUCUUUCCAUAUAUUUGCUCGUUCGUGGAGUCUACGAGAGAGGGGGAGGUGAGGGGUCCAACGCCGCUUUCCAGCAGGAAGAGAGGGAGGAGGUCUUCGCCGUCACCCUUGCCUGCCUGUCCGUCGGCCCUUUUCCUCCGCUCGUUUCGCGCUCACUUAACUUCUCUACUUUUUCUGAGAGGAGCAACCACUUUCUACGCCCCACACUGUGGGCGUCUGAACACUUACACGUGCAUGCACGCAUACUCGCGCUCGCGAAUACGCAAGACCGCCUAUACCGUCUGCCUGUGCUCGUGCCCGGUGUUUUCUGUGUGCCUCCCUCGUCGUGUUUUGCUUAAACCGCCUCUUCGAACUGUGCCUCUCCCUUGCUGCCGCUGUAGAACAGGGUAGCGUCCUUCGAAAAGCGGACGCCGCGCACUGUGUGUGUGCGUGUGCAGCAAUAUUCGUUCUGCCCAACCCACGAAGAAGGUUAUCCAAGGGAGCCGACGCGCCUUUGCAUUGGACUCACGUUGCGCGGACUCGCAUCCAGCGUGGGCCUGCCCCUCUCUCCGUCCCCUCUUGCUUUCUCUCGCGUUGGCCGACCUAAACCGAGCCUAGGGAACGAAUCCUGAACACCACAAGAGCAACAACAGACAUGUAUCGCACUCUCGUGCGCUUGUCGUCCCCCACCACCGUGGGUAAUGGCCGCAUGACGCGCCGCCUCACUGGCUGCACGUCUCUGCUGUGCCUUGCCUCGGCGACGGUGCAAGUAGGGUCGCUGCUACAGUCACGUCGCUUUCAUGGACACGGGGGCGACCGUAGCAAGCCAGUCGAGGUGGAGUUUACCCUCCCUGAUGGCGAGAAGAAGGUGGUGAUGGGCUACGAGGGCCAGACUCUGCUGGAUGUGUGUGCCGAGCAAGGACUACCGAUGGAAGGGGCAUGUGGUGGCUCGUGCGCCUGCUCCACCUGCCACGUGUACUUGGAGGAGAAGGACAUGGACCUCUUCCAGGAGCCUACAGACGAAGAGAACGACAUGAUUGACCAGGCGUUCUACCCGGAGCCAACGUCGCGUCUUGGCUGUCAGCUGAGUCUGAAGCGCGGCGUGCAUGAUGGGCUGAAGGUCAAGAUGCCUCGCGCUACCCGCAACAUGUACGUUGACGGCGCCAAAGUGGUGCCUCACUGAGAAUGUGCUCACGAUACGAGCGAGGAAGGCCACCACUCCCCACCAGCGGUUGCUUGUAUGCACAAAGAGAGGGAGAGAAGUGCCUUCUGGCGAGUGCAUGGGCAAGCACAUAAAUGCGUGUGCGUGGGCGCAGGCCGCGCGGCUCUUGUGCCUUCCCUCCUCCAACACACACACACACACACACACACGCAGGCACGUGCUGUUGCUGUGCGUCGUCACAGAUGCAUCGUUAUCUUGAACCUUUUUUGGCAUGAAUUCACAUACUUUCAUUCGCCGCUCGACUCUUUCUCUUACUGAGCCCCUAUCCCCGCCUCACGCACAGACACGCAAGCACAGACACACGGACUCCCUUUCUUCCGUUGUCCUUCCCUCUCCGCUAUGCCCUGGUGCACAAAAGACGGACACGGCUGCGUCGGCGGGGCUACCUUUACUUCGUUUGGUUCUCUGCCCGCUUGUUGCUCUUGUCGGUGUUAUGCGCAGCCCGCUGUUGUGCGGAUGCGGACAUGUGUGUAUGUGUGCGUGCUCGAAGCCUACACCUCCCUCUUCUUCUUCCUGUAUUUCCUGCCGCUGCCUCGUGUGUGCGCGGCUUUCCCUCCUUGGCACAUGAGUUGCGUUGGUUCGCCCUCGUUUCGACACGCUCUUGUGCGCGUACGUGUGCAUGCAGUGGCGAGCGUGAGUGCGCAACACCUGAAGGUGUCUUCUAUUUGUGAAGCGAAGAGGUGGCGGGGGGAGAGAAACAGAGACACGCCAUCGCGUUCGCAUGUGCAGAGGCGCGCCACGUCGUUGCUCUUUUCUCUCCACAUCGCGUGUGCUUGCUUUGCCGUGGGGUGCGAAGCCAUUCAACGUUUGCAGCUGAACCGCGUCGCGGUACCGAACGCCGAAGGGAGCAAGCGGAGACCUGUGCCGGCGAUGCCGAUGGUGAUGCAUGUGCGUGCGUGCCUUACCUAGAUGCGUUGCUGGCCGUGAUAGCAUCACUAUG